GAUGAAGAACGUAGCGAAAUGCGAUAAGUAAUGUGAAUUGCAGAAUUCAGUGAAUCAUCGAAUCUUUGAACGCACAUUGCGCCCGCCAGUAUUCUGGCGGGCAUGCCUGUUCGAGCGUCAUUUCAACCAUCAAGCCCCCGGCUUGUGUUGGGGACCUGCGGCUGCCGCAGGCCCUGAAAACCAGUGGCGGGCUCGCUGUCACACCGAGCGUAGUAGAUUUUCAUCUCGCUCAGGGCGUGCUGCGGGUUCCGGCCGUAAAAAGCCUUAUUUACCCAAGGUUGACCUCGGAUCAGGUAGGAAGUCCCGCUGAACUUAAGCAUAUCAAUAAGCGGAGGA
This 336-nucleotide unclassified non-coding RNA is filed under the name soil metagenome. RNAcentral's name for it is "partial contains 5.8S ribosomal RNA, internal transcribed spacer 2, and large subunit ribosomal RNA". The stretch from base 1 to 120 matches the Rfam family "5.8S ribosomal RNA", at positions 35 to 154 of the family's 154-position model. The record is from RNAcentral.